Molecule: ribosomal RNA, 1044 nt
Filed under: uncultured bacterium
Lineage: Bacteria
Description: bacterial SSU rRNA
Rfam family: Bacterial small subunit ribosomal RNA
Source: RNAcentral
AGUUUGAUCCUGGCUCAGGAUGAACGCUAGCGGCAGGCCUAAUACAUGCAAGUCGAACGGUGGUAGCGAUACCAUAGUGGCGCACGGGUGCGUAACGCGUAGCCAACCUACCCGAAUCUGGGGGAUAGCCCGCCGAAAGGCGGAUUAAUACCGCAUAAGACUACAGAAUGGCAUCAUUUUGUAGUUAAAGAUUUAUUGGAUUCGGAUGGGGCUGCGUGCCAUUAGCUAGUUGGGGGGGUAACGGCCCACCAAGGCGACGAUGGCUAGGGGAGCUGAGAGGCUGGUCCCCCACACGGGCACUGAGAUACGGGCCCGACUCCUACGGGAGGCAGCAGUAGGGAAUAUUGGGCAAUGGGCGAGAGCCUGACCCAGCCAUGCCGCGUGCCGGAUGAAGGCCUUCUGGGUCGUAAACGGCUUUUUUCCGGGAAGAACCGGUUCCUUGCGAGGGGCUCUGACGGUACCGGGAGAAUAAGCACCGGCUAACUCCGUGCCAGCAGCCGCGGUAAUACGGAGGGUGCGAGCGUUGUCCGGAUUUAUUGGGUUUAAAGGGUGCGUAGGCGGCCGCGUAAGUCUGGGGUGAAAGCCCGUUGCUCAACAACGGAACUGCCCUGGAAACUGCGUGGCUUGAGUCCAGACGAGGUUGGCGAAAAAAGACGGUGUAGCGGUGAAAUGCAUAGAUACCGUCCAGAACACCGAUUGCGAAGGCAGCUGACUAGGCUGGUACUGACGCUGAGGCACGAAAGCGUGGGGAGCGAACAGGAUUAGAUACCCUGGUAGUCCACGCCGUAAACGAUGGAUACUCGCUGCCAGCGAUAGAUAGUUGGUGGCUUAGCGAAAGCGUUAAGUAUCCCACCUGGGGAGUACGCCCGCAAGGGUGAAACUCAAAGGAAUUGACGGGGGCCCGCACAAGUGGUGGAGCAUGUGGUUUAAUUCGAUGAUACGCGAGGAACCUUACCUAGGCUAGAAUGCGCGUGACCGGUUCGGAGACGAACCUUUCCUUCGGGACAUCAAAGCAAGGUGCUGCAUGGCUGUCGUCAGCUCGUG